CUAGUUGGUGAGGUAACGGCUCACCAAGGCCAAGAUGUCUAGCGGGUGUGAGAGCACGACCCGCGCCACUGGCACUGAGACACUGGCCAGACACCUACGGGUGGCUGCAGUCGAGGAUCUUCGUCAAUGGACGCAAGUCUGAACGAGCGACGCCGCGUGAGCGAUGAAGGCCUUCGGGUUGUAAAGCUCUUUAGGGGGGGAGAAAAACUGAUCUAUCCCCAAAAUAAGCUCGGGCUAAGUUCGUGCCAGCAGCCGCGGUAAGACGAACCGAGCAAACGUUAUUCGGAAUCACUGGGCUUAAAGGGCGCGUAGGCGGGUCAUCAAGUCUGUGGUGAAAUCCUCCAGCUUAACUGGAGAACUGCCGUGGAUACUGGUGAUCUUGAGGAAUGUAGGGGCAUCUGGAACUGGUGGUGGAGCGGUGAAAUGCGUUGAUAUCAUCAGGAACUCCGGUGGCGAAGGCGAGGUGCUGGACAUUUUCUGACGCUGAGGCGCGAAAGCUAGGGGAG
RNAcentral lists this ribosomal RNA (506 nucleotides) under uncultured bacterium. RNAcentral describes it as "bacterial SSU rRNA". It matches the Rfam family "Bacterial small subunit ribosomal RNA", at positions 245 to 768 of the family's 1533-position model. The record is from RNAcentral.